GUGCUCACUUCAGCAGCACAUUUACUAAAAUUGGAAGGAAACAGAGAAGAUUAGUGUGGCCCCUGAGCAAGGAUGACACGCAAAUUUGUGAAGUGUUCCAAAAAAGU
Molecule: small nuclear RNA, 107 nt
Organism: Fukomys damarensis (Damara mole-rat)
Lineage: Eukaryota; Metazoa; Chordata; Mammalia; Rodentia; Bathyergidae
Source: Ensembl